CAGCCAAGCAGAUGGGGCUGUACCUGUGAGAGUGUGUCACCCGUGGGUGGAGUGUGCAGUGAUCAGAUGUUGGUCGGUCUCAGCCAAGCUAGGUCCUGGGGCCACAGGAGGAUCCCUGCAGCCUGUUGCAUGAAUCAAUCAACCUUCCCUGGAACACAGCCAGGCCCAUUUGUUUAAAUAAUAAUGCACUAAACAAGGCAGCGGAGCGGUGGGCUGGCCUCUGGGAGAGGUGACACAGCAGCUUUUAGUUGUCACAACACUCGUUUCCCAAGCACAAAGAGAAACCAAAGGACGCGCAGAGGAAAGGUGGUCUCCCGGCUGGGGAGGACCUGGGAUGUGAGGGAAGAGGGAGGGAGGGAGCAGGGAUGCAUGAGCCCGGCUCUGGGGCUCCUGCACCCCUCAAGGCAGGCUGAGGCCGGCCUCGCCCUGGUUGCAUCACCCAGGACGCCCUGGGGAUCUCCAGGCCACCGUGGCAGCCGGGCCCCUGAUGCAAUCCACGGCUGUCUGGCAGCAUGACCUGCCCCGGUCAGCCUGGACUCUGCCCUGCCUGGGGGCCCAGCCCUGACCACAGCCUCCAGCGAUCCCUCCCUUCCCAGGGUCUGUUUACAGGCGCUUGGAGCAUCAGGCGCAUUUCUAUCAUGAACUCACAGGGUGGUGCCCAGCGAGUGUCUCUGAUCUGUAAACUGGGUGUGGUGGCAUCUACCCUGUCUGUGGGGUUGCAGGAGGAAGCCACACGCAUGUGGGGAGCCAUGCCAGGCACACAGUGGAUGCAACAGGGGAGUUGCUCGUUCUGACCGUGUUCACCAUGUCUCUGAUGCGCAUCUUCUCACGUGAAAUCAGCAUGUGUCUUAAAAUGGACAGAGUAGAAGUUCAACUAGCAACAUUGUGUGCUUCCUACUGGCACAUACGUGAAUGGCAAGUUAAUGGUGGGUGUGUUGUGGACGGCACCCAGGUUGGAAGGAAAGCAGUUAAGUAUUGCUACGAAGCUCAGCUGCACAGCAUGUCACAGAACCCAUCCAGGCUGGGGCUGGAGAGUGCUUUGUGAACCAGAAUUGGCAAUGAUGCUUGGGUGGGCUGGGCCCUGCACUUCCAUCUCCCACCGGGUUAGGUGCCCCAGAACAGGUCUGGGGUGCGCCAGGGGCUCUGAAUCCCCUCAUCCAAGGCUGCCAGGGGACCGGGCUUUCCUGCCAUCUCAGGGACUCUGAGGAGCCAUCGGACAGUCGGAGGGAGAAGAGAGCAAGUGAGGAAGUCACCUCUGGUAUAACUGACAUGAGACUUAGAUAGUUGGGGUCAAGGUGGAUGUAGGGGCACUUUAGCGUUUGGAAGCUCUUUUCCUCUUGGUAUUGAAUAGAGUCCCACUGUCUGGAUGCACCCCGCUGACCCACCCACUCACCGACUGCAGGGCGUCCCGGUUGCUGCCAGGUGAAAUAGGGGCGGGGACAAUCCAGGGACAUCUUUCCCAGCAUGCAUGAACCAGAAAUAACACCAGCGUGUCUGAGAAGAAACGGUGAAGAAAUCCACCCUGGC
RNAcentral lists this long non-coding RNA (1527 nucleotides) under Homo sapiens (human). RNAcentral's name for it is "long non-coding RNA NONHSAT163125.1". The record is from RNAcentral. Lineage: Eukaryota; Metazoa; Chordata; Mammalia; Primates; Hominidae.